Molecule: non-coding RNA, 30 nt
Filed under: Homo sapiens (human)
Lineage: Eukaryota; Metazoa; Chordata; Mammalia; Primates; Hominidae
Source: RNAcentral
UGGCCGAGAUGAUUGGCGAGUUCCCAGACC